The sequence is a transfer RNA, 73 nucleotides long. It matches the Rfam family "tRNA". From Rfam's summary of the family: Transfer RNA (tRNA) molecules are approximately 80 nucleotides in length. Their secondary structure includes four short double-helical elements and three loops (D, anti-codon, and T loops). The record is from Rfam.
GAGAUUAUAAUUCAAAAGGUUAGAAUAGUACUUUGAUAAGGUACCAAUAUAGGUUCAAAUCCUAUUAAUCUUA